Molecule: non-coding RNA, 179 nt
Filed under: Halioglobus sp.
Lineage: Bacteria; Pseudomonadati; Pseudomonadota; Gammaproteobacteria; Cellvibrionales; Halieaceae
Description: 6S RNA
Rfam family: 6S / SsrS RNA
About the family: E. coli 6S RNA was the first non coding RNA to be sequenced, but its function was unknown until recently. It consists of 184 nucleotides that fold into an extended hairpin structure with a large single-stranded internal bulge. The 6S RNA specifically associates with RNA polymerase holoenzyme containing the sigma70 specificity factor.
Source: RNAcentral
GGGUCCCUGGUGUAUUCGCCAGACUUACAGUCCUCGAGCCGAUAUUUUUUACCCGGGGGCUUCUCGCUUCUGCUGGUGUGCAAGUCCGGUUCGGCCGGAAAGCCUUAUGCAGUUCAGGAGUCACCACCUUGAACCAUCGGGUUCAAGGGCAGUUCUGUCAGCGGUACUCCGGGAACCCC